GGGUUGUGAGGUUAAGCGACUAAGCGUACACGGUGGAUGCCCUGGCAGUCAGAGGCGAUGAAGGACGUGCUAAUCUGCGAUAAGCGCCGGUAAGGUGAUAUGAACCGUUAUAACCGGCGAUUUCCGAAUGGGGAAACCCAGUGUGACUCGUCACACUAUCAUUAACUGAAUCCAUAGGUUAAUGAGGCGAACCGGGGGAACUGAAACAUCUAAGUACCCCGAGGAAAAGAAAUCAACCGAGAUUCCCCCAGUAGCGGCGAGCGAACGGGGAGGAGCCCAGAGUCUGAAUCAGCAUGUGUGUUAGUGGAAGCGUCUGGAAAGGCGCGCGAUACAGGGUGACAGCCCCGUACACAAAAGCGCAUAUGCUGUGAGCUCGAUGAGUAGGGCGGGACACGUGGUAUCCUGUCUGAAUAUGGGGGGACCAUCCUCCAAGGCUAAAUACUCCUGACUGACCGAUAGUGAACCAGUACCGUGAGGGAAAGGCGAAAAGAACCCCGGCGAGGGGAGUGAAAAAGAACCUGAAACCGUGUACGUACAAGCAGUGGGAGCACCCUUUGGGGUGUGACUGCGUACCUUUUGUAUAAUGGGUCAGCGACUUAUAUUCUGUAGCAAGGUUAACCGUAUAGGGGAGCCGCAGGGAAACCGAGUCUUAACCGGGCGUUAAGUUGCAGGGUAUAGACCCGAAACCCGGUGAUCUAGCCAUGGGCAGGUUGAAGGUUGGGUAACACUAACUGGAGGACCGAACCGACUAAUGUUGAAAAAUUAGCGGAUGACCUGUGGCUGGGGGUGAAAGGCCAAUCAAACCGGGAGAUAGCUGGUUCUCCCCGAAAGCUAUUUAGGUAGCGCCUCGUGAACUCAUCUCCGGGGGUAGAGCACUGUUUCGGCUAGGGGGCCAUCCCGGCUUACCAACCCGAUGCAAACUGCGAAUACCGGAGAAUGUUAUCACGGGAGACACACGGCGGGUGCUAACGUCCGUCGUGAAGAGGGAAACAACCCAGACCGCCAGCUAAGGUCCCAAAGUCAUGGUUAAGUGGGAAACGAUGUGGGAAGGCCCAGACAGCCAGGAUGUUGGCUUAGAAGCAGCCAUCAUUUAAAGAAAGCGUAAUAGCUCACUGGUCGAGUCGGCCUGCGCGGAAGAUGUAACGGGGCUAAACCAUGCACCGAAGCUGCGGCAGC
Molecule: ribosomal RNA, 1176 nt
Filed under: Salmonella enterica
Lineage: Bacteria; Pseudomonadati; Pseudomonadota; Gammaproteobacteria; Enterobacterales; Enterobacteriaceae
Description: partial 23S ribosomal RNA
Rfam family: Bacterial large subunit ribosomal RNA
Source: RNAcentral